RNAcentral lists this ribosomal RNA (1318 nucleotides) under Alexandrium minutum. RNAcentral's name for it is "LSU rRNA". It matches the Rfam family "Eukaryotic large subunit ribosomal RNA", at positions 137 to 1408 of the family's 3401-position model. Lineage: Eukaryota; Dinophyceae; Gonyaulacales; Pyrocystaceae. The record is from RNAcentral.
UUUGAAUUGUAAUUUUGAAAUGUAUUGCCAAUGGAGGCGCAGGUGCAAGCCUAUUGAAAGAAAGCGUCAAUGAGGGUGAGAUUCCUUUUUGUCAUUUGCAGUCCUCCGUGCACGGUAUAUAUUUGACGAGUCACACUCCUCGGCAUUGGAAUGCAAAGUGGGUGGUAAAUUCCAUGUAAAGGUAAAUAUAUUAUUGAGACUGAUAGCAAACAAGUACCAUGAGGGAAAUAUGAAAAGGACUUUGAAAAGAGAAUUAAAAGAGUCUGCAUUUGCUGAACAGAAAGCAAACAGAAUUGAUUUUACUUGGUGAGAUUGUUGUGCUUACUCUAUCAUUUAUAUGGUUGAUGUGGGUGCGAUGGUUCUUACCUUGAAUGUCAGCUUCUAUUUCUGCAAAUCAUUACCCUUGCACAUGAAUGGUAAUUUGCCUGCGGGUAUUGGAAUGCAUGUGUUUGCAAUGAUUUGUGAUUUGACGCAUGUGUUUGGUGAAAUUUGUAUAUGCUCUUUUGUCGAAGGGGAAAGCUUACUUUUUUGAGCAUUGCAAGCCCUUACACAUCAGUGCUGGCAAAAUGUUUCUGCUUGACCCGUCUUGAAACACGGACCAAGGAGUCUAACAGAUGUGCAAGUUCGUGGGUGGCAAACCUUUUUGCGCAAUGAAAGUAUUGGCUGGGAUACUUGCACCAGCAGCCGACCAAUUAGCAGACAGAGGUUUGAGUUUGAGCAUAUCUAUUAGGACCCGAAAGAUGGUGAACUAUGCCUGAACAGAAUGAAUUCAGAGGAAACUCUGAUGGAGGUUCGUAUCGAUACUGACGUGCAAAUCGUUCGUCAUACUUGGGUAUAGGGGCGAAAGACUAAUCGAACCAUCUAGUAGCUGGUUCCCUCCGAAGUUUCCCUCAGGAUAGCUGGAGUUGCACAGUUUUAUCAGGUAAAGCGAAUGAUUAGAGGAAUUGGGGACACGCUGUCCUUGACCUAUUCUCAAACUUUAAAUGGGUAAGAUGCAAUGGUUGCUUUAUUGAACUUUUGGAAUAAAUGGCAAUAUCAGGUGGGCCAUUUUUGGUAAGCAGAACUGGCGAUGAGGGAUGAACCUAACGUUGGGUUAAGGUGCUUAAUUGCUUGCUCAUUAGAUACCAGAAAGGGUGUUGGUUCAUUUUAACAGCAGGACGGUGGUCAUGGAAGUCGAAAUCCGCUAAGGAGUGUGUAACAACUCACCUGCCGAAUGGACUAGCCCCGAAAAUGGAUGGCGCUCAAGCGGGUGACCGAUACCCAACCACUGUUGCAAAUAGUGUCAGUGUGUAGGAGGGCAUGGCGGUUUGUGAUGCAG